GAUGAACGCUGGCGGCGUGCUUAAUACAUGCAAGUCGAACGGAAAGGCCAUGCGUUUGCGGGGCGCUCGAGAGGGGAACGGGGGAGAAACACGCGAGUAACCUGCCCCUGACUUUGGGAUAACUUCAGGAAACUGGGGCGAAUACCGGAUAGGAGAUACUGCUGCACGGUGGGGGUUGGAAAGUGUCGGCGGUUGUGGAUGGACUCGCGGCUUACGAGCUUGCUGGGGGGGUAGUGGCGUACCAAGGUUUUGAAGGGUAGGCGGCCUGGGAGCGUGACCGGCCACAUUGGGACUGCGGUACGGCCCAGACGCCUACGGGCGGCAGCGGUGGGGAAUAUUGCGCAAUGGGCGGACGCCUGAUGCAGCAACGCCGCGUGCGUGAUGCCGUCCUUUGGGUUGUAAACCGCUUUCGCCUGUGACGAGGCGUGAGUGACGGUAAUGGGUAAGGAAGCACCGGCUAACUACGUG
RNAcentral lists this ribosomal RNA (468 nucleotides) under uncultured bacterium. RNAcentral describes it as "partial 16S ribosomal RNA". It matches the Rfam family "Bacterial small subunit ribosomal RNA", at positions 28 to 507 of the family's 1533-position model. The record is from RNAcentral.